This 1501-nucleotide long non-coding RNA is filed under the name Olea europaea subsp. europaea. Lineage: Eukaryota; Viridiplantae; Streptophyta; Magnoliopsida; Lamiales; Oleaceae. The record is from RNAcentral.
UCCUAAUCUUUUAUGCCAUAAACAAGAAGAAUCAACAAUAUACGAAGAAGUAGAAGCUUCAUUAAUCUUGUUCAAUUUAGGUACAAUAGUAAGGGCGUUCAUCUUGAACAUCCCAUCGAUCAUGUAACCUUUUCCAACGUACAUCCCAUUUUUAGUUAGUACAAAUUUGUCAAAUACAAAUACUAACUUAAACCCAUUCUUGCUAAGAAGAGAACCAGAAAUAAGAUUUUUCCGGAUGUCCGGCACAUGCAGCACAUUGUUGAGGACGAGUUCCUUGCCAGAUGUCAUCUUCAAGGUCACAUUUCCUUGUCCUUCAACCUUUGAACUUGAGGGAUUUCCCAUGAAUAGUUGUUCUCCAUUGAUAGUUUUGUAAUCAGAAAACACAUUCUUUUCAGCACAAAUAUGGUGAGUGGCACCAGUGUCCACCCACCAUUCCCUGGGAUUUUCAACACUAUUACAUUCAUAUAUUACAGUAGAUAGGUGCAUUUCUUGAACACUUUCAGACAGAUUUUCAGUUUCAACAACAUGUGCACGGUCAUUUUGCUUUUUAGGCUUGCGACAGUCAAUUGUACGAUAUCCAGGUUUGUCACAGUUGAAACAGUCCCCUUUGAACUUCUUGUUCUUCUGGUUGUUUUCUUUUUUCUUCGGAGCAAGUUUGAGUGCUUCCUUUUCAUGUUCUUCUUUGAACUUGAUUCAAUCAUGUUUGCCUUAGCUUCCAUGCUUGGUCCCCCGUUCCCCCUUUCAGAUUUCUUAGUAUUUUGUUCGAUCCUCAAACGCACAAUCAACUCCUCCAUGUUCAUUUCCUUACGUUUGUGUUUGAGGUAAUUUUUGAAAUCUCUCCAUGAGGGCGGGAGUUUUUCAAUUACCGCUGCUACUUGGAAUGACUCACUUACAGUCAUUUUUUCAGCAUGUAAAUCAUGGAGGAGUACCUGCAAAUCUUGAACUUGGGAAAUAACAGAUUUAGAGUCAAUCAUUUUGUAUUCCAAAAAUUUUCCGACAAGAAAUUUUUUAGAUCCAGCAUCUUCAGUUUUAUAUUUUUUCUCUAAAGAUUCUCAUAGUUCUUUUGCAGUUUUCAUUAUGCUGUAUACACCAUAUACCGAAUCAUUCAGUCCAUUCAGUACAUAAUUUUUGCAUAAAAAAUCGGAAUGUUUCCAUGCGUUCAAGGCAAUAAUCGAAACUCGAUUAUUUUCUCCUUAUUGAACAGUAGGAGGAUCCUCCGUGAGAAACUUUGCCGGGUUCAAAGUGGUGAAAUAGAACAGCAUUUUCUACUGCCAUCUCUUAAAAUCGACCCCAUUAAAUUUUUCAAGUUUCUCUCCGUGAGGAACAUGAGUUGAACCAGAAGGACCAGACAUUGUCGGCGUUACAGUAGCCACAGUUGGCGUCACAGCCACAGCCGGAGGAAUUGCAUUGAUCCCAACAGUGUUAGCCAUUUCUGUUUUCAAAACAGAAGAUCAACUAGUCAGAAUUUACAAAUUAAAAUUCUGCAGAAUAGUAAUUUAGC